GCAUGUCUUCGAAUAUGAGGAAGCAAUUCUCUCUGAAUCUGCGAACGGCUCCGCAAACCAGUUGUAAACCAAAGCAAGCAUGUCCGUUGGCGGGCCCUUUCGGGGGCCUGCCGGUGGAGAAUAUAUGGAUACCCGUGGUAAUUCUGAGGCUAAUACAUGACAAUGUUCCUGGCUAUCGGGGCGGCAGGCCUGGUCUUCGGAUCGGGCAGGUUGUUCUGGUGGCCGGGGACGCGCGAGGGUAAAGCUUGGCACAUAUCGGGAAGGAACGCGCGUUCGGACCACCAUUUUCAAGGGUGUCUGGCGGAACUGGGGGCCCUCCGGGGCUCUCGGGGAUGCUGGGCGCCUGGUGGCUCUUGCGAUGUGCUUCUGACCUAUCAACUAGACGGCAGCGUAACGGACAUGCUAUGGUAACAACGGGUACAGAGGAUCAGGGUUCGAUCCUGGAGAGUGGGCCUGAGAGAUUGCUCAUACUUCUAAGGAAGGCAGCAGGCGCGCAACGUUCCCCUUGGACAAUGUCCGAGGGCGCUAGGGGAAAUAUGGAUGGCUGCCCUCGUGGUGGCUAAUCCAAAUGGGUUUGUCGUAAACAGGCUCUCGAGUAACAAUUAGAGGACAAGUCUGGUGCCAGCACCCGCGGUAAUUCCAGCUCUAAUAGCAUACGUUAAAGUUGUUGCAGUUAAAACGCUCGUAGUCGGCCAUAGGCGUUCUUAGCUCUCGCUGCGGUGCUCGGGUCUGUGCCCCCUUAUCGGGGGGCGCGCCGGGUGCUCGGUGGGGGUGACGUUUGCCAAGCGUGUUCGCGUCCGUUCUUUUGCUUGCGCCCUCACGGGUGCCGGUGAUUGAUUACAGGGCUUUCGCAGUUGUCCCGUGGGGUUUUGGUGCUAGUACUCGCUUAACUGUGGGGAACGCGCUGAUUCCAUGCGGGGCUAGGUCGUUAGCCUGGGGCCGGAUGCCAUUGGUCGUGAUUAAACUGGGGUGCUCAAUGCAGGCCUAACGGCUAUGUACAGCACAGCACGACAUUAAGCGAGGUUGGCUGGCCCCCAAGCGGGCCGGCUGGCUUGUACUGAAGUUGGGCAAAAGGGGUGUUCGUGGGUGACCGAAUUGCCGGGCGAGUGGUGAAAUACGUUGACCCUGGCAAGUCGUCCAAAUGCGAAAGCAGUCAUCAAGGGCACACCCAUUGAUCAAGAGCGAAAGUUAAGGGUUCGAAGACGAUCAGAUACCGUCGUAGUCUUAACUAUAAAUGAUACUGGCCAGGGAUAGGGCAAUGUCCAUCUCGACUCCCCCCGGACCUUUGGGAAACCAAAGCUUCUGAGUUCUGGGGGGAGUAUGGUCGCAAGGCUGAAACUUAAAGGAAUUGACGGAAGGGCACACAAAGAGUGGAACCUGCGGCUUAAAUUGACUCAACACGGGGAAACUCACCAGGUCAGGAUACGCGGAUGAAGGACAAGCUGAGAGACUUUUCUCAAUGACGUAAGUGGUGGUGCAUGGCCGUUCUUAGUUCGUGGAGUGGUUUGUCUGGUCUAUUCCGAUAACGAGCGAGACCCCGGCGUUCUAACUAGGGGUGGUGGCUAUGCCUAUGAUAUAACGCCUGCUUGGGUGGAGCCUGCCUCACGGCGGGUGACGCCUUCGAGUGGGCCGGUCUCGGUAAGCUGCCGCUUCCUGGGCCCUGGCCGCAGGUCGGGGUGCAACAUUCUUCUUAGACGGAUCAGGGCCAAAAAGGUCCUUGAAAUGGGUUAAUAACAGGUCAGUCAUGCCCUUAGAUGUUCUGGGCCGCACGCGCGUUACAAUGGCAGGGAAAACAAGUGUUCAUUUUGCAGAGCUCUUCCGGGCCCUAACGGGUCCGGUAAUCACUAGGCCCUGCCUCGACUGGGAUAGUCUCUUGCAAUUCUGGGUCUUAAACGAGGAAUUUUUAGUAGGCGCGGGUCAUCAGCCCGCGCCGAAUGCGUCCCUGCCCUUUGUACACACCGCCCGUCGCUGCUACCGAUUGGGCCUGGCG
This 1990-nucleotide ribosomal RNA is filed under the name Enerthenema intermedium. RNAcentral's name for it is "SSU rRNA". It matches the Rfam family "Eukaryotic small subunit ribosomal RNA". The record is from RNAcentral. Lineage: Eukaryota; Evosea; Eumycetozoa; Stemonitida; Stemonitidae.